This 466-nucleotide ribosomal RNA is filed under the name uncultured bacterium. RNAcentral describes it as "partial 16S ribosomal RNA". It matches the Rfam family "Bacterial small subunit ribosomal RNA", at positions 28 to 507 of the family's 1533-position model. The record is from RNAcentral.
GAUGAACGCUGGCGGCGUGCUUAACACAUGCAAGUCGAACGGAAAGGCCCUUGCUUGCUGGGGUGCUCGAGUGGCGAACGGGUGAGUAACACGUGGGUGAUCUGCCCAGCACUUCGGGAUAAGCCUGGGAAACUGGGGCUAAUACCGGAUAGGACGAUGUGUUGGAUGCCAUUGUGGAAAGUUUUUCCGGGGUGGGAUGGGCUCGCGGCCUAUCAGCGUUUUGGUGGGGGAAUGGCCUACCAAGGCGUCGACGGGUAGCCGGCCUGAGAGGGUGUACGGCCACAUUGGGACUGAGAUACGGCCCAGACUCCUACGGGAGGCAGCAGUGGGGAAUAUUGCACAAUGGGCGGAAGCCUGAUGCAGCGACGCCGCGUGGGGGAUGACGGCCUUCGGGUUGUAAACUGCUUUCGCUUGGGACGAAGCGCAAGUGACGGUACCUGGAGAAGAAGCACCGGCUAACUACGUG